Long non-coding RNA from Oncorhynchus tshawytscha (Chinook salmon), 1424 nucleotides. RefSeq lists it as uncharacterized. The record is from RefSeq and is a predicted model, not a curated record. NCBI's taxonomy places the organism in Eukaryota, Metazoa, Chordata, Actinopteri, Salmoniformes, Salmonidae. The transcript is spliced from 3 exons.
AAUUACCAGCGGUUCCUGCCAGUUAGGCCCAACCUAAUCUGGAAUACCCAGAACAAAAUCUUGCAUGAACAUAACUCUCAUAACCUCUGUGCUCCCGACAGACGUAACAUGUUGGUUACAGAUCUUAGGACAGAUAUGCCCACCCAGAUCAGUCUUAUCUACACCUGCAAUUGGAGCACAUUACAAACCUAUGACAGCUAUAGGUAUGAUAGUGUAUAUGAAAAUGAUGCACCAUCACAGAAGGGUCAUAGGUGGGAGCUAUUGUUUCACCAUAAAAGGAGAGAGGGGAGACACAAAAUACAGUGUGUCACUCUCACACUCACUACUGUGGCAUUGCCUGAGUCAUUAUCUACAGCCAACAGCUCCUGUGUAUAUUUCUAAAAACAUUUUCGAGAGCAUGUGAAUAUAGUCGCCCCCGAAAGCAUUUCUCAUUUCCAUAUAUCCUGUUUCACAUCUCUCUCUGUAUUAUACAUAAUAACAGGUGGCAGGUUUAAAGAACUCUUAACCGUGAUCCAAUGAAUGUGCUGCUGGUGCCUUAUGUUUGUACUUUUGGUUGGAAUGACAAUGAACGACAUUUCUUGUCGUCUCUCUUGACCUACAGUUAACAGAUGCAGGAACAAGGAGAAACAGACAAACACUUGGAUUACCCAGAAGAAGCACCAGAUCUCAGUAAGCCUGAAGUUUGUGAAGGGGUUGAGCUGAGCAGUGAGUCCUCUGCCCUUGUAAAGUGUCAGCAGUGUUUGUUCUAUGUGGAUUCUAAACUCAAGGAGCUUGGUCGAUCAAAUGCCAGCCACAACCAUUGCUCCCUCCAAGUAAAGGGGUCAGAGCUGCCUGGGUGGAAGCCCAGAGGGCUGUGGUCAAAGGUCACCGUCCAGUGUCAUUAUGAAGAAGAGAAGAAGAAAAGGCAAUACCAUGACAUAAUUAUGUUUUUAUGUAGCUGCCUCACACUUUUCCUCCACUUUGCCACCAUAGUGCUUUUUUGGUUUUCUGUGCAUAAACAGUACAGUGGGCUGGCACACAACAUAUAAGCAUGUUAUAAAUGAGUAACCGUUGGAAUUGUGGUUUAUUGAAAGGAUUUGAUGAUUUGAUGUUUCCUUUCAAAUAGUCAUUUGUCCUCAUCCCUUUGUUACAAUAACAGGAAGGUGAAGAUGAUUUGUGCUAUGCCACCUUGUCCCAUGCUGGUGCUCCUCCAUCCUACUCAGUCAAGUUUGAACAAGGCCAUGACUAGGCCACAGUGGUCAUAUACUGACCAGCAUUGCCGAACUGAAUGGACAUGAAAGGACUUCCAAAUGGAUAGAUUGCUUGACUUAAACACCUACAUUUCAAUUUUCUUUCCAAGAAAUCAUUUGCAUAAAUCUAUUUGCAAUGUAGUUUUGAUUAUCCAAUUUGUCACAUUAAGAGAACAAUAAAGUUUUUGUAUUCCA